RNAcentral lists this ribosomal RNA (346 nucleotides) under Chnoodes sp. CO465. Its description in RNAcentral is "partial 12S ribosomal RNA". The record is from RNAcentral. Lineage: Eukaryota; Metazoa; Arthropoda; Insecta; Coleoptera; Coccinellidae.
UAAAAAUGUAAGUAAUUUAAAAUUAGAUUAUUAAUAGUUAUGUUCUUUAAAAUUAAUAUAUUUGGCGGUAUUUUAGUCUUUUCAGAGGAACCUGUUCUAUAAUAGAUAAUCCACGUUUGAUUUAAAUUUAAUUAGAAAUUUAUAUAUCGUUGUUAAAAAUAUUUUUUUAGAAUUGAAUAUUUAAAAUUUUAAAUUGAAAAUUUAUCAGAUCAAGGUAUAGUUUAUAUUAAAUUAGAAAUGGGUUACAUUUAUAUUAAUAUUGGAUUGUCUUAUGAAAUUAAUAUUGAAAUUGGAUUUGAAAGUAAUUAAAUUUACUUUUUUUUAAUGAUUUAGCUCUAAAAUAUGU